This 613-nucleotide ribosomal RNA is filed under the name uncultured bacterium. RNAcentral's name for it is "bacterial SSU rRNA". It matches the Rfam family "Bacterial small subunit ribosomal RNA", at positions 13 to 638 of the family's 1533-position model. The record is from RNAcentral.
UUGAUCAUGGCUCAGAAUCAACGCUGGCGGCGUGCCUCAGACAUGCAAGUCGAACGAUUAAAGCUCCCUUCGGGGAGUGCAUAGAGUGGCGCACGGGUGAGUAACACGUAAGUAAUUUGCCCUCGGGUGGGGAAUAACUUAGGGAAACCUAAGCUAAUACCGCAUAAUGCAGCGGCUCCGUAUGGAGACAGUUGUUAAAGCAUUUAUGCGCCUGAGGAGAAACUUGCGGCAGAUUAGCUAGUUGGUAAGGUGACGGCUUACCAAGGCGACGAUCUGUAGCCGACCUGAGAGGGUGGUCGGUCACACUGACACUGAAUAACGGGUCAGACUCCUACGGGAGGCAGCAGUCGGGAAUUUUGGGCAAUGGGGGAAACCCUGACCCAGCAACGCCGCGUGAAGGAUGAAGUCUUUCGGGAUGUAAACUUCGGAAGUAUAGGAAGAAUCAAUGACGGUACUAUAUCUAAGGUCCGGCUAACUACGUGCCAGCAGCCGCGGUAAUACGUAGGGACCAAGCGUUGUUCGGAUUUACUGGGCGUAAAGGGCGUGUAGGCGGCGCAACAAGUCACUUGUGAAAUCUCCGGGCUUAACUCGGAAAGGUCAAGUGAUACUGUUG